Long non-coding RNA from Strigops habroptila (Kakapo), 1164 nucleotides. NCBI's taxonomy places the organism in Eukaryota, Metazoa, Chordata, Aves, Psittaciformes, Psittacidae. The record is from Ensembl.
GUGAGAGGCCCAGAACUGAACACAGACAGUGUGUCCUGAUGCAUGGCUGGGAGACAGCUUCCCCUUGUGUAUCUCCACCCUGUCCGCCCCUCUGUUCAGAAGUAAGAGAAGUUUCACAUUUUGCUCCACAGUACCUAUGGGGAAAUAGGAGCUCCUUCAUGACAGCAGUGGGGUUUGACUUCACAACCCUGGGCUGCCUAAAAUAAGUAGAGGGAGGUGAAUGGGUCUUCCUGAUCAAAGUUUUUCACCAUCAUUUUCAUCUUCAGCUUUUGAAUUAUUCUCUCCCCGUCAGAUGUGCUCUCAUUUAUUCAUUGCCAAUUUCUUCAUCAAAUACUGCUUGGUCUCCAGCUUGUUCAUGAGCAAACCCUGGUGUACACCACAGUCCUCACAGGAGAGACUUCUCAGCAUGAGUCACACAGCUGCUGACUGAGCAGCAUGCACAGCUAACCAAGGCAACACGAGGUGCCAGCUCAGUAGGUUUUCUCCCAGUAUACGACUUAAGCCAGCAAUUAAGCAUUCUUAACUAAAACUGUAGCCUUCUCUGAAGGUUCAUUCUAAUAUGAUUUGCUCACACAGAGGUUUUGGUAAAAAAAAAGCAUCUGAAACAUGAUUUAACAGAAAUUUGUUGUCAGAUUACAACUUGUUUUUAAGGAAAAUCUUAUCACUGUUCUUUAACUUGUGUUUUCUCAGAAGAACCUCACUUGUUAAGGUCUCAUACCCUUUUCUUGCAGUGCGUUGCUGGAUUUUUUUUUCCUUCAGAAAAUGCAGGCAACAUUAAGGCAUCCCUUAUUUGAAACAGCAGUUCAAAGAAGGAAUGAAACGAGAAUUAGAAAAAUAACCUGUAUAAAAACAUUAGCUGUCCUAUUUUAGGAGAUAAUUAGCUGUAGCAAAGUUUCCCUCACUUAUUUUUCCUUGGUGAGAAAAUAAACUACCUUGUCAUUGAGGUUUUCAUAAAAUGCUGUUGUUUGCAACAUUUGCCACAAACAAAUUAACCCAAACAUUUCUAGUGCAUGACUUACACUAGUAAUUUUGCUACUAUUUUCAUUUCUGCAUCUGAAAAACAAAAUGCUUUCAGUUAUCACAUAACGAAGGAAAAAGAAAAAAAAAAAAAGAAUCACAUAUUUGACUGCCAAGGAGUAUGUAUGAAAAAAUUUAUACCAAAAA